AUUGAACGCUGGCGGCAUGCCUUACACAUGCAAGUCGAACGGUAACAGGUCUUCGGAUGCUGACGAGUGGCGAACGGGUGAGUAAUACAUCGGAACGUGCCUAGUAGUGGGGGAUAACUACUCGAAAGAGUGGCUAAUGCCGCAUGAGAUCUACGGAUGAAAGCAGGGGAUCGCAAGACCUUGUGCUACUAGAGCGGCCGAUGGCAGAUUAGGUAGUUGGUGGGAUAAAAGCUUACCAAGCCGACGAUCUGUAGCUGGUCUGAGAGGACGAUUAGCCACACUGGGACUGAGACACGGCCCAGACUCCUACGGGAGGCAGCAGUGGGGAAUUUUGGACAAUGGGCGCAAGCCUGAUCCAGCAAUGCCGCGUGCAGGAUGAAGGCCUUCGGGUUGUAAACUGCUUUUGUACGGAACGAAAAGCCCCGGGUUAAUACCCGGUUGGGAUGACGGUACCCAAAGAAUAAGCACCGGCUAACUUCGUGCCAGCCGCCGCCGUAA
RNAcentral lists this ribosomal RNA (498 nucleotides) under uncultured bacterium. RNAcentral's name for it is "partial 16S ribosomal RNA". It matches the Rfam family "Bacterial small subunit ribosomal RNA", at positions 30 to 523 of the family's 1533-position model. The record is from RNAcentral.